UGGGGAAUUUUGCACAAUGGGGGAAACCCUGAUGCAGCGACGCCGCGUGAUUUAGAAGGCCUUCGGGUUGUAAAAAUCUUUUCUUUGGGAAGAAAAUGACAGUACCAUAGGAAUAAGGACCGGCUAAUUACGUGCCAGCAGCCGCGGUAAUACGUAAGGUCCGAGCGUUGUCCGGAAUCAUUGGGCGUAAAGGGUACGUAGGCGGGUAAGCAAGUUAGAAGUGAAAUCCUAUAGCUCAACUAUAGUAAGCUUUUAAAACUGAUCAUCUUGAGGUAUGGAAGGGAAAGUGGAAUUCCGAGUGUAGCGGUGAAAUGCGCAGAUAUUAGGAGGAAUACCGGUGGCGAAGGCGACUUUCUGGCCAUAACCUGACGCUGAGGUACGAAAGCGUGGGUAGCAAACAGG
RNAcentral lists this ribosomal RNA (402 nucleotides) under bacterium. Its description in RNAcentral is "partial 16S ribosomal RNA". It matches the Rfam family "Bacterial small subunit ribosomal RNA", at positions 355 to 776 of the family's 1533-position model. The record is from RNAcentral.